Long non-coding RNA from Columba livia (rock pigeon), 6386 nucleotides. RefSeq lists it as uncharacterized. The record is from RefSeq and is a predicted model, not a curated record. The transcript has 3 exons. Lineage: Eukaryota; Metazoa; Chordata; Aves; Columbiformes; Columbidae.
GUGCUGUUUGCUCAAGGAACGCCAGUGUGCACCGUAUUUGCCCAUGUGUACACCAAUCUUAGUCUCUAGUUAUGUAACAAAACAACACAAAUUCUUCUUGUGCUCAUGUUUUAGUUAAGAAAAUCUGUUUCAAAAUAAUCCCUUAUAGGGGUAAAUAUAGUUGAGUUACUAACAAUGAAGACUGUCACGCAGAGAUUUGGAAGCGGUGCAGAGGAACUCUCUGUGUGAGAGGAAAGCCAAAAAAAGGCUAAAACCUCAGAGUUUUGGAAGGGGAACAGAGCAUCUGGCAAGAACAGUGCACCUAGUGCAAGCCAAGAAUACAGAGCUGCUGAUUAUGAAAGAUCUUGUUUAUUUAAGAACGACCAAAUUGCUUCUCUGAGCCCCAGGUCGUGAUCUUGCUCCAGCAUGCCCCUGGGAGCCGUUCUGAAGCUUUCUCUCACCUGCCAAAAACUAUAGUCAGACAUACUGUCCCUUACGGAUAUUGGGCUCUGUGUGAUUACACCAGAACAAUUCUGGUUUCACUAUGCCUUUUUCCACCAUUCAUAAGUAUUCUUUUUCAUUUCCGUACAUGUGGGUGGCAAUAUAGAUGUUUCUUCACACUUCUGCCUAGUAUUUAAGAUGCAUUUUCUGUUAUUUAAUGAAUAAGUCCUCUCUUCUUCAACAUUUGAAUGGCAUCUGUGCUCUCAGUGCAGUAGUUAAUCACAUCUGAUCUUGGCAUGCUUCAAAUUUAAUUGAGCUUUAAAAAAUUGCAAAAGUAACUUGGAUUUUCUACCAAAAAAAAAAAAAAAAGAAAGUGGCUAUAAAUUCCUGAAGCUUAAGUCUCUGGUUAGUCUGAGACACCAUGUGGAGACCUGGCACAGAAACUCCUUCCACAUCAUCUCUCCAGCAUCACACAGGCUAGUGUAAGAGAUUAUGCUAAGAGUAAAGUUCCUGUCUGGCAGUCUCAGAGUGGAGACACAAGCUGCUUCCUCUCUGUUUUAACACUAGUACGGCAAUGUCUCUAACUUGCAAAAUGUAAAUUGGCUUUAACGGGAAUUUGCCUGAAUAAGGACUUCAGGAGCCUUGCUUAUGGAAAGGUGCAAAGAUUGGAAGGAUGGGAAAUUGAUUCUCAAAAAAUCAGCUACACAAAUACUUUUAAUACAACAUCUAAUGCAAGGAUCUGCAGAGGAAGCCUCCAAGUUUCUCCAUUACAUGAGCGGUCAGAGUCUUCUUGAGUUCUGGAGAUUCUGUCAAAGACAAACUUUCCUGAGCCUGGGAUUUGGAGCAGUUGCACAUGCCCUUGCAAGAGGAGAAAACAGCAUCAGCUUUGUCAUCAUCAGAACUAAAUGUCUUCAGGUUUAAGUACAUGUUUGCAUUUGUGUACAGCUUAGUAUCUGUUCAUUCAAAGCACAUCCAGACAAUUUUUAAACCAUUAGGCAAGGAAUAGUGUGCAAGUUAUUAAUAGAGAAGCUUAAUUAAUAUUAAAAAAAUAUUUUGGGUUUUAAAAAAUCUGGGACUUCAAGGUUUGUUGUUUUUGGUCUUAAUGAGCAGGUUACUUAUCACUGUUUCAACAUAUAGGCUCUAUACAUGUAUGUAUUCUUUUCUGCCACAAUAACUACUAUUAAAUGCAAUAAAUGUUAAGGCAUUAAUACUCAGUGUAUCUUAUUGAUUCUGGUUUAUCAAGAAAUCCAUGUUGACUUGUUUUCCUUCCUUUUGAGUUAAGAAGUGGGACAAUCUGAAGCUAGAAAUUUUUUAAAACUGAAAUAUGUUGAAGUAUAUGCUUCAGCACCAUAAGUCCCUUUGUCCCUUUUGAGGUCCCUUCCAAUCCCCGGUGUUCCGUGAUUCUGUGUACUGUAGACCUUUCUGCUGCCUUUGCUAAGCAGUAAAGUUUUAUCAUAUUUACUAAAAAUCUGUUGAUGAAAGAGUGAUAUACUGUUUGCACUAAUGGAAGGCAAAGCUGGCAACUUACAUGGAAGAUGUUCCUGUACAAUUGAUGGAAUCACAGAACUAUCAGCAUCAGAGACAGGAUAAAUCUAUGGGUUUGACAAUAUAAAGUGGGUAGCAGAAAUGUCGGAGAAUGUUUUUCUAUUAGACAUCUUUUGAAUAACUAAAUAGAAGAUUUAGGUCAGUAGUACACACUAGUUGAUUGAAACUACUGCUUUAUAGCAUUAUAUCUUAUAGAAGCAGCAUCUUCUAGAGGAAAGCAAAUUAACAUCCAUUUCAUUGACACUUUUGGGGCAAAAAGGUUACUUUAAAAUACUAUUGAAAACACCUGAUUGAUGCCAUCUCUGUAUUUAUUUAUAUAGGUACACAAAUAUUUUCUGUGUAGACAAUUAUUGCAGUUCUUCGGAGGUGAGGAUAUGCUUUCCUCCUAGUUUCAUAGAACUUAGAAUAAUGUAUUAAAAAUCUUUGCUGUGUGUGUUUUCCUCUGAAGGUUGUGUAUUCAAUCACUUUUUAGAAGCUUCUGAUUAGUAGAAAGCAAGUAGAAAGCAAGUAGAAAGCAAGUUUUCCUUGACAAAAAAAGUUUAGGAAAAGCUACUGAAUCAGUUUUCUUGCCUUUUUGUUCUUGUUGUUGUUUUUGUUUUAUACUAUUUAAAGUUCAGGAGUUUUCACUUGCAAAGCACUGUCAUUGUGCUACAAAAAUUUCAUAAUAUUAGUUUGUCACAGUGCAAAUGAUGUUCUCUCCUUACUAACUCACAGCAGCCCAGUUCGUACUUUAUAGAAUAGCACCAACCCCCACACCCUUAAAUGUUACCGACAAGUUUUACAAUAGUGUUGUAAGCACUACAUAAUAAACAGGCAGAUGUUUUCUUAAAAAAUAUUUCUGAUUUUUUUUCAUACAGACUCUGUGCCUGACAGUUUAUACUGCAAAUGUCUUGCAGAGUCCAUAAUAACAUCUGUACUUCACAGUGGUUGAAAAGACAUGUGAGAAGGGCAUGCCUGUGGGCUAGAAAGGUCAUUCUGUUUAAGAAAGGUGAGAUGCCUCCUCUGUGACUGUGGAGAAAUGCUCUUGGUUCCAGAAAAAUUGUAUUUAGCAGGUGAUGAUAUCAAAAGGUGGUAUACUACAGGAAAAUAAAAGGGUUUUCUUUCUUCUGUAUUAAAAUGGAUGCAGUGUAUACCUUUAUUUUUGUAAGUAAUUGAUCCUUGAAAACUUUUUCCUGUGAUUUUUUUAAACUUAUGUUGCAUUUACUCUGCUUAUACAGUAGGCAGCAGUGCCUAGAAAGUGUAAUUAUUGUGUAUUUCUAGUUUACUUCAAAUUUUGAUUCAAUCAGAAUCCCUAAAUCUGACAACCUAUAAUCAAACAAAGGGAGUACUCUAGUAGGUGGGGAUUAACAGAAGGGAAUUAAACUGUCAUUUUGCAACAGCUUAGACCAAUAUGAAAGCUCAUUUAUGAGUCUCUCAAUAAAUAUCUCUUUUGUUUUGUCUAAUUGUUGGUUUGAAUGUAUCAGACUCAUCAAUGGGAUUAGGGUUAAUAGAUGUUUGGUCACGCAUAACAUGCAGAGGAGGAAUCUGAUACACACACACACAAAAAUUGCACUUAAUGAGCUUAGCAAAUGUUUGCCAUAUUUUUAAUGAACCCUGGGGCUGUCAUUUAGAAAUGCUUAGCAACUGCUUUUCCAUCCUUGAAAAUGGAGCAACUGAAGGACAUUAACACUAUGUACACCAUAAAUAAAGUGAGCUAUUUAAAGAUGCCAACUGGGAGGUGGGAACGAUGACAUUUUACUUAACACUUCGUGUGUGUGUUAGAUCUUUCACAAUCCAGCCGGGCAUCUCUAGUUUCCUACAGGGAAUGGGUAUGAGUGUUUGAGGGAUAUCAAAUAGCUGCCUUAAAAAAAAAUUAAAAAAGUUAAACCUGUUUAUGAUACAGCUUUCAAAAUAUUUCUUCCCUAUUUUUUUUUUCUCAUGCUCAUCUUAUUGCCAAAUACUUGCAGAGAGGAUUUUAAAAAAACUCGAACAGAUUAUAUGUUUGCAUCAUCUGCUCCCAAGCUUAUCUUUCUGCCUUUGUCAUUAAGCGAAAUGCUUUCUUAAACAAGUGAUAUGGAAAAGAAUGAGUAUACUCUGGGGGAUUCAUUGUACAGUAGAUUUAAUGAUCCAUUCAUUAGCCUCUGGGACCUGUGCCUAAACCAAUGCAGGCUGAUUAAUGGGAAAUUAUUGGAGCAAACCAUGUGUCAUGUGUUACAGUUAUUUUGACUGGACGUAACAGAAUCAGGUUUUUUUUAAAGAAGGGCUUGAUUUGAUAUAAUAAUGCAAAAAGUGCCAUUCAGACGGAUUAUGACUAGAAGAAAUGAAUGCUUUUUAAGACUUCAGUUGCCAUAGAGGCAGCAGAUCUAAGAUCUUUUGUCUGCACACAGAAAUCUUUUGAAACAUCAGCUCUCAAGACCUUGGAUGAGGAAAAGAAUCUGAAAACUGAACUGGCCUUUAAACACUUGUUCCUGCUGUGAUCAGUCAAAGCAGACCCUGCUGUGUCAUGUGGGUAACCCUUUUCAAAAUCUGAAUAACUGAGAAAAAACAAUAUCAUUAGCUUAGAGAGUUCACAGAUGUCAUCAGACAGGGCUGUGACUACUGAAAACUUGUGUUUCACUAUCUCAUUUUUACUUAGUGCGGAAAAGGAGACUUGCAUACCAUUUCUGCUAUACUGAAGUGGACGCCUCAGUGUAAAAUCAGAGUGGGUUUAAAAAGGAGAAAAAAAAAAAAAAGAAAAAGGCUGUCUGACAUCUUUCAUCUUGUAAUGCAAAUGUGAAUAUAAACAGUGCGGGAAUUCAAUAAUUACGUCUUUAAUUUCCAAGAGGGACCAAGGCCCUUCUAUCUCAUUCUGCUUUUAGUUGAUAUAUUAUCCUUCUUGAAAUUAGAGUGGGAAAUAUGAUGACUAUCCUCACCACCUUAACUUUGACUUCCCAGCACACAUUUUUAAAAAAAUCUGGAAACAAUCCUUUCUGCUUUUAAUUUGUAAAAUAUUUCAUUCAGGGAACUAAAUAACUCUGAAGUUCUCUGUUGGUGUGCAUACAUGUUUUCCUCUAGCCUGAAAUCAGUUCAAGACCACUUACACCUGGAAAUGUUUUCAUAUGAUAGUCAAACUAUGCUCUAUACAGAAGUAUUUGGCCUUAUUUCAAUUCUCUAUGAAGAGGUAUUCACCUUACAAAAAACUGCCUCUAUGUUAUUUCAUUUGUGUUUAUGUAAAAUAGAUAACUGAGCUGUUACAGGCGUGUGCUGCUCAAAAGCAAUAAGAAGCCUUGGAGCUGAUAUGAAGUGCUAUCGUUAUUCACAGUUCUACAGGCUAUGUAUUCUGUUUGGGUUUUUUGGACAGGGGAAUUUAGAAUGCAGCUGGUAUCAUCAUUGGUAAUGUAGUUUUGCUGCCUUAUUUCUGAUGUGCUUUAUUUUUUUGGAUCAAUUUCACUUAUGUUUUCUCACUUACAUUUUUAUAUAGGAAUUUUAUAACUAAAUAGCAAAAUCUUCACAUUUCUUAAACUCCUUGGUGUAUUUAUUGCUUCAUCAUACUUUAGAAAAUAAUCUAAGACUAAACUUUGACACUUUAUAUGCAAAAUACAGUGUGCAUUUUCAGCCAUAAUUUUAAAGAGUUUUUCUGACUCUUACAAGGAGAAAAAGCUUUUUGGUUUACAAAACCUCAAGGAGGGAAGAUACAUUCUGACACCAAAUCUAACUUCGUCACUGCUUUUGUUAUUCUGAAUAACAGAUACCAAAAAGAUAAUAAAUACCAGGAAAGAAAAAAAGGCAAUGCUGAUGGUGGAAGCAAGUUCAGGAGGGAUUUAACUGACUGCGUGGCACCAAGGAAGAAGCAGGUGUUGAGCUGCUUGGGGAAUGUCCACACACAUGAGCAGCAUAAAUCUCUCACCAGAACAACAUGACUGUCAGGGAGAAGGUAGAUGACAACACAGGGUGUAUCAAAAUAGAAGAUGAACACAUCAAGCCUGGGGGAGACCAGGAAUGUUUCUGUGAAAACUUAUGACUUCUGUACUGUAGCUAUUUGCUUGGAGGUAAAAUUAUAGGGAAACUAUUUCUUGACUUCACUGUUUGUGCUGAGAAAGGGUAGUAGUGCAAUACACUGCCUUUUUUGAGUUGAAUUUGCUGCAGGACAAUGGAAAGUGGCAGUAGGCUGCUGCCUGGUGCCUCAUGCUGCUGUUGCUACAGAAGUCACAAAGGGAGGCAGGGAGGGUGAUCAUUGUUAGCACAGGCAAUUCUGUACUAAAGCAAAAGGCAUUUAUUUGGUUGUGGUCUCCUGCUCCGUUCCAGCAUUUUUUUAUUUUCUAUACAGCCUCAUGCAAAUCCACAGAAAGGACUGCAGGGCUUCAACCCUGAACUGGUGCUCCAUGUGAGGAAGAACUACUAGCUGGUUAAAAAAAAAAAAAAAAAAAAAAAAAAAAAAAAAAAAAAAAAAAAAAAAUUGUAAA